Phrynosoma platyrhinos (Desert horned lizard) is the source of this 82-nucleotide non-coding RNA. The record is from the annotation of a GenBank genome assembly. Lineage: Eukaryota; Metazoa; Chordata; Lepidosauria; Squamata; Phrynosomatidae.
GACAGAGUAGUGUAAUGGUUUGAACUAUGUAGUGGUUUAGACUAUGACUUUGGAGACCUGGGUUCGAAUCCCGGUUCGGCCA